This 107-nucleotide small nucleolar RNA is filed under the name Cephalotus follicularis. RNAcentral's name for it is "Plant small nucleolar RNA R71". It matches the Rfam family "Plant small nucleolar RNA R71". Rfam says of the family: R71 is a member of the C/D box family of snoRNAs containing the C (UGAUGA) and D (CUGA) box motifs. Multiple nearly identical copies of this snoRNA have been identified in Arabidopsis, and it is thought to function as a 2'-O-ribose methylation guide for 18S ribosomal RNA. The record is from Rfam by way of RNAcentral. Lineage: Eukaryota; Viridiplantae; Streptophyta; Magnoliopsida; Oxalidales; Cephalotaceae.
ACGACAUGAUGGGGGUAUUUUCUGAUGAGGUCCUUUAAUCUUUCUCAUGCCUCAUGGAACUGCUCAUCAUCUUGUUGAGAGAAGCUAGUGAGAGAUCGCCUUAUUUG